GAAAGAUUGACGUUAAACAGCGCAGAUUACCAUCUCACACCUAACGACCGAGAUGACGGGAGCGCGCUGUGACUCCAGCAAGACUGCGAAGAUUUCCUGAAGACUGCGACUGUGAAAAUCGUUUGUAGUCUGCACCCGC
Long non-coding RNA from Melanotaenia boesemani (Boeseman's rainbowfish), 139 nucleotides. RefSeq lists it as uncharacterized. The record is from RefSeq and is a predicted model, not a curated record. NCBI's taxonomy places the organism in Eukaryota, Metazoa, Chordata, Actinopteri, Atheriniformes, Melanotaeniidae. The transcript has 3 exons.